Serinus canaria (Common canary) is the source of this 136-nucleotide long non-coding RNA. RefSeq lists it as uncharacterized. Lineage: Eukaryota; Metazoa; Chordata; Aves; Passeriformes; Fringillidae. The transcript has 3 exons. The record is from RefSeq and is a predicted model, not a curated record.
GCAGAGACAGCUGCUCCUUUGGUAGGAAACUUCCCUUGCACAAACUUUCACCCGGAGGAAUAAGUUUGUAGCUCAAAGAGGAGCUAGAAACCCAGAGGCACGAAAGGGAACAAACAGGAAUGCCUUGGAAUGCCAC